RNAcentral lists this ribosomal RNA (468 nucleotides) under uncultured bacterium. RNAcentral describes it as "partial 16S ribosomal RNA". It matches the Rfam family "Bacterial small subunit ribosomal RNA", at positions 28 to 507 of the family's 1533-position model. The record is from RNAcentral.
GACGAACGCUGGCGGCGUGCUUAACACAUGCAAGUCGAACGGAAAGGCCCUGCUUUUGUGGGGUGCUCGAGUGGCGAACGGGUGAGUAACACGUGAGUAACCUGCCCUUGACUUUGGGAUAACUUCAGGAAACUGGGGCUAAUACCGGAUAGGAGCUCCUGCUGCAUGGUGGGGGUUGGAAAGUUUCGGCGGUUGGGGAUGGACUCGCGGCUUAUCAGCUUGUUGGUGGGGUAGUGGCUUACCAAGGCUUUGACGGGUAGCCGGCCUGAGAGGGUGACCGGCCACAUUGGGACUGAGAUACGGCCCAGACUCCUACGGGAGGCAGAAGUGGGGAAUAUGGCACAAGGGGCGGAAGCCUGAUGCAGCAACGCCGCGUGCGGGAUGACGGCCUUCGGGUUGUAAACCGCUUUCGCCUGUGACGAAGCGUGAGUGACGGUAAUGGGUAAAGAAGCACCGGCUAACUACGUG